This is a long non-coding RNA of Tachysurus fulvidraco (yellow catfish), 765 nucleotides long. RefSeq lists it as uncharacterized. The transcript is spliced from 3 exons. Lineage: Eukaryota; Metazoa; Chordata; Actinopteri; Siluriformes; Bagridae. The record is from RefSeq and is a predicted model, not a curated record.
GUACUUGUCAGGAACAUUCUAUGAAAAAAUGCAGCAAGUUUAUAAUAGAACAAACAAAUAAAGACACUUUUACUACUCGGGAACCAGGAUGGUGAACAAAGCUGAUGGGAUUCAUUUUAAAGAUUGUUGACCUGACAACAGUCCAACAGCCAGAUCUUCCUCCUCAAUGUUUGCUGUCUCAUCAUUGUUACUGAGUCCCACUCCCAUGAAUUGUUCUGCAAACUUGAUGAUGACUAAUUUCUGGGACGAACCCUAAAAAAUAAAGAAAGCAACUGCUCGUGUUAAUUACAUCACAACAUUGUCAUCUGUUUAUUCUGCAAUGCCUUUCUAAUUGAACCAUUAUAACCAUUAAUCGGUCAGAUAAAAACUGCACCUUUAAAUGUCAUAUAAAUGGAAGGUGAGACUCAGUGACUGGAACUUAUAAUGCAAAGUGAUGUUGGACAGAUGGACCCUUAUGAUCUUUUUUUUUUGUCAGUGGUGGUUAAGGUAGUUAAGUGAUCAAGGCACUGGAUUGUUGAUCGGGGUUCAAGCCCCAGGGCUGCCAAUCUGCCACCUUUGGGCCCUUAAUCAAGGACCUUAACCCCUCCCUGCUUCACAGGUGCUGUAAUGUAUGUGUGACAUACAAAUACUUCUAUAUUAUGUGAAUCCUUUGAUAUAUUCACAUUAUUGUUCAACUUACUGUACACACUGUACAUCUAUAAAGAUUUUUAAUAAUCCAUGUAAAUUUGUACACAUAUUUGAAUGGAUCCUUCAGCCACAGUGAAA